Molecule: ribosomal RNA, 483 nt
Filed under: uncultured bacterium
Lineage: Bacteria
Description: partial 16S ribosomal RNA
Rfam family: Bacterial small subunit ribosomal RNA
Source: RNAcentral
UUGCACGCUGGCGGCAUGCUUUACCCCUGCAAGUCGCACGGCAGCGCGGGCUUCGGCCUGGCGGCGAGUGGCGAACGGGUGAGUAAUACAUCGGAACGUGCCCAGUAGUGGGGGAUAGCUCGGCGAAAGCCGGAUUAAUACCGCAUACGACCUGAGGGUGAAAGCGGGGGAUCUUCGGACCUCGCGCUAUUGGAGCGGCCGAUGGCAGAUUAGCUAGUUGGUGGGGUAAAGGCCUACCAAGGCGACGAUCUGUAGCUGGUCUGAGAGGACGACCAGCCACACUGGGACUGAGACACGGCCCAGACUCCUACGGGAGGCAGCAGUGGGGAAUCUUGGACAAUGGGCGAAAGCCUGAUCCAGCAAUGCCGCGUGUGUGAUGAAGGCCUUCGGGUUGUAAAGCACUUUUGGCGGGAACGAAAAGGACUGUGCCAAUACCACGGUUCGAUGACGGUACCCGCAGAAUAAGCACCGGCUAACUACGUG